RNAcentral lists this non-coding RNA (171 nucleotides) under human gut metagenome. RNAcentral describes it as "Lysine riboswitch". It matches the Rfam family "Lysine riboswitch aptamer". From Rfam's summary of the family: Riboswitches are metabolite binding domains within certain messenger RNAs that serve as precision sensors for their corresponding targets. The record is from RNAcentral.
AAGGUAGAGGCGCAUUUUUCAUAAGUAAUCCGCCCCAAGGCUUGCGGAAGCCGAUGACAGCGAAUAAAAGGGGAAAAUGCCGAAGUAUGUAUUUUUCCGCAGAAAUAUAUGCUGGUCAUACUGUUAACAGCCGUAUGACUGUCAUCAUAAUAUGAUGGAGUGCUAUCGUUU